AAUCAAGUAAGCUAAACUUAAAAGCUAUUGGGUUCAUACCCCAACGAUGGGACUCCCCUUGAUUA
This 65-nucleotide transfer RNA is filed under the name Exechonella vieirai. Its description in RNAcentral is "tRNA-Met". Lineage: Eukaryota; Metazoa; Bryozoa; Gymnolaemata; Cheilostomatida; Exechonellidae. The record is from RNAcentral.